Molecule: non-coding RNA, 859 nt
Filed under: Cyanoplax caverna
Lineage: Eukaryota; Metazoa; Mollusca; Polyplacophora; Chitonida; Tonicellidae
Source: RNAcentral
AAUUUGGUUUUAGUUAAAAAUUAGCUUUUUCUUUUAGAAAUACAUGAUAGUUUUAGCGAAGCUGUGAAGAAUGGAAAUAAAUUUUAUUGUAUUAAUAAUUAUAUAUAAUUUAUUUUUAUAAUUUUAAAGAUUUUGAUAAUGUUACUUACAACUUCAGUAUUGAAUAUUUAUAAUAUAAAAGAAAUUUGGAUUUAGAAUUAGAAAAUAAGACUAGUGAAUUUUGUGCCAGCAACUGCGGUUAUACAAUAAAGUUUAAGUUAAUUGAUUUGGUAAAAUUGUAGUUAUUAGUUUUUUUGAGUUAAAUUAUAUUAGAUAAUGAGGUAAAAUUUAUAUUAUAUUAUAAACUUUUUUUAGCUUAUUUAAGAAUCUACAAAAUUUUUUAUUAAAACUAGGAUUAGAUACCCUACUAUUAAAAAUAUAACAUAUUAGACCAGAGUAUUACGAGUAAAUUACGAGAUAAUUACUUCUUAAAAUUCAAAAGACUUGGCGGUACUUUAUAUCUGUCUAGGGGAGCCUGGGCUGUAAUUCGAUAAUCCGCGUUAUACCUUUCUUUCUUUAAUUAUGUUGAACUUGUAUACUGCCGUCUUUAGUUAAUCCUUAAAGGUAAAAAAAUUAACUAAUAAAUUAUUUAAAUUAUUAUGACAGGUCAUAGUACAGUUUAUGAGAAAGUUUGUUACGGGUUAAAAUUUUUAUUAAAUAUGAUAAUAUAAUGAAAUAUUAUAUUAGAUAUAAACUUAGAAGUAAAUUUAAUUUAUGAAUAUUAAUUUGAAUUAGUUCAAAAGUAAGCACAUAUCGCCCGUCGCUCUCGUUAAAUAAUGAGAUAAGUCGUAACAUAGUAGGAGUAGCGGAAGCUGCUCCU